RNAcentral lists this transfer RNA (127 nucleotides) under Candidatus Woesearchaeota archaeon. RNAcentral's name for it is "tRNA-Leu". It matches the Rfam family "tRNA". Rfam says of the family: Transfer RNA (tRNA) molecules are approximately 80 nucleotides in length. Their secondary structure includes four short double-helical elements and three loops (D, anti-codon, and T loops). Further hydrogen bonds mediate the characteristic L-shaped molecular structure. tRNAs have two regions of fundamental functional importance: the anti-codon, which is responsible for specific mRNA codon recognition, and the 3' end, to which the tRNAs corresponding amino acid is attached (by aminoacyl-tRNA synthetases). tRNAs cope with the degeneracy of the genetic code in two manners: having more than one tRNA (with a specific anti-codon) for a particular amino acid; and 'wobble' base-pairing, i.e. permitting non-standard base-pairing at the 3rd anti-codon position. The record is from RNAcentral. Lineage: Archaea; Nanobdellati; Candidatus Woesearchaeota.
GCGGGAGUAGGAAAGCAUGGUCAAAUCCGCAGGACUUAAGAUCCUGUCUCUUAGUGAGUUCGCCGGUUCAAAUCCGGNNAGGGCCUGUUCCCUUAGGGGUUCGCCGGUUCAAAUCCGGUCUCCCGCA